UCCACAGCCAUAUCACCCUGCAGCCCAAGACUGGUUGCCCUCUGAAGCUAAGCAGGGUUGAGCCUGGUCAGUACCUGGAAAACUGGUAAAACUAGGUUGCUGUUGGAA
Ribosomal RNA from Sinocyclocheilus grahami, 108 nucleotides. Lineage: Eukaryota; Metazoa; Chordata; Actinopteri; Cypriniformes; Cyprinidae. The record is from Ensembl.